Lycium barbarum (goji berry) is the source of this 556-nucleotide long non-coding RNA. RefSeq lists it as uncharacterized. The record is from RefSeq and is a predicted model, not a curated record. The transcript has 2 exons. Lineage: Eukaryota; Viridiplantae; Streptophyta; Magnoliopsida; Solanales; Solanaceae.
AUGAAGGAAAUAAAUGGGAGAAGAAUCUGUUACAAGAUUCACAAAUAUUAUUUUUCUUAAUUUGUUGGCUAAAUUAGGCUAUAAAUAGGACACAAAGCAAAUAAACAUCAUCAUCAAACACCUACACAAAUUACUUUCAAGUAGCUUAUUGAGCGUUACACCAGAUAUUAAGAUAUGACUUCCAAAGUGUUGGCUUUUCUUCUCAUCUUUAUGAUGAUAGGACUCUGUGUUUCCCCAAAGGCCGAAGCAGUUGACAUUCCCGAGUGUUGUUGCUCUUCAGACGCAGAUUGUGCAGAUUUAUGUAAAGUCCCUGUCUAUUACUGCAGUGCUCCAUUGUGUCUUUGUGGGCAUCAGCGGCCUCCUCAAGGUCAAAUUGCAGAAACUACUGAAAGCAUAAAUUGAAGAAUUAAAAUUUCAUGGACCGAAAAUAUAAAGGAACAAUAAAAGUUGAGGUACUUUGAUUUUCCUUUCAAAAUAUAUAAUUGGAAUUCACUUCCAGUUUCUAUGGAACUUGCAACAAGGCAUUAGCCAAAUAAGAAAAGCUUUUACUGUUUUA